Long non-coding RNA from Schistocerca nitens (vagrant locust), 651 nucleotides. RefSeq lists it as uncharacterized. NCBI's taxonomy places the organism in Eukaryota, Metazoa, Arthropoda, Insecta, Orthoptera, Acrididae. The record is from RefSeq and is a predicted model, not a curated record. The transcript is spliced from 3 exons.
UAUAAUGUUCUAUACAAUCAAAAUCAUUUGGAAUGUGGUGAAACAAAAAAUAGCGAUGACCAUGUCUCCAGUUUCCCACUGCAAAUUUGAAAGAACGCACCAAUCAGAUGAAUCAUGAAUUAGUGUGCAAAGGUUAAAUAUGAGUGCAUCAAGAUAGAAUACUAGUGCUGUGAUGCUUUUAUGGAAUAUAUGUCUGAAAAUACAGUAAUAAAUAUUGGUUUUAAAAGGAGUGAUGAACACAGUUAGCAGGAACGCAAGACCACCACAGCUAUGGAACUGGAUUAUUGCAUGACUGAGACCUGCAUGUCAAGGGAGAAAAGUGAUACUAUCCAGGAACUUAAAAGUUUGACUUCAGAUGACAAUCAAUAAUAAAUUAUUGUAAAAUUGCUAAAAAUUACAAGAAAACAUGGACACAGAGAUGAUGCAUACUGAUACAAGAAUCAUUCUUCAGAAAACUUCGAAGAAACUAUGAAGACAGUCAGGAAAUGAAGAAUGAUACUGAGAAAGGCCAGAAAACAUUUUAACAUUCCACUAAGAGAUCUCAGCCACACAUUGCAUGUGUCUUCAAGUUGGACAUCUGUUAGUCAUCUGUAUUGUUGCUGGAUUUGUAAUGGGGAAACAUUGGCAAUUUGUCCACGCUCUGACUGGUGU